UCACCCAAUCUGCGUGACAGAAAGGGGGUGUGUUACUAAUGCUUAACUAUUUAAUCCUUUUAUUUGUUGCUGUUAUGGCGAAUGUAAUUAGCUAUUACAUCUGCAAAUGGUUAGACAGUAACAAGAAAUAGUGACUAGCCAAAACCGUUAUUUAGGCGGUAAAGAAAAAGCACAGGGUCGCCGCCCUGUGCUUUUUUGGUGUUACCAAU
This 209-nucleotide small RNA is filed under the name Veillonella sp. oral taxon 780 str. F0422. Its description in RNAcentral is "Streptococcus sRNA SpF66". It matches the Rfam family "Streptococcus sRNA SpF66". The record is from Rfam by way of RNAcentral. Lineage: Bacteria; Bacillati; Bacillota; Negativicutes; Veillonellales; Veillonellaceae.